GACGAACGCUGGUGGCGUGCUUAACACAUGCAAGUCGAACGGAAAGGCCCUGCUUUUGUGGGGUGCUCGAGUGGCGAACGGGUGAGUAACACGUGAGUAACCUGCCCUUGACUUUGGGAUAACUUCAGGAAACUGGGGCUAAUACCGGAUAGGAGCUCCUGCUGCAUGGUGGGGGUUGGAAAGUUUCGGCGGUUGGGGAUGGACUCGCGGCUUAUCAGCUUGUUGGUGGGGUAGUGGCUUACCAAGGCUUUGACGGGUAGCCGGCCUGAGAGGGUGACCGGCCACAUUGGGACUGAGAUACGGCCCAGACUCCUACGGGAGGCAGCAGUGGGGAAUAUUGCACAAUGGGCGGAAGCCUGAUGCAGCAACGCCGCGUGCGGGAUGACGGCCUUCGGGUUGUAAACCGCUUUCGCCUGUGACGAAGCGUGAGUGACGGUAAUGGGUAAAGAAGCACCGGCUAACUACGUGCCAGCAGCCGCGGUGAUACGUAGGGUGCGAGCGUUGUCCGGAUUUAUUGGGCGUAAAGGGCUCGUAGGUGGUUGAUCGCGUCGGAAGUGUAAUCUUGGGGCUUAACCCUGAGCGUGCUUUCGAUACGGGUUGACUUGAGGAAGGUAGGGGAGAAUGGAAUUCCUGGUGGAGCGGUGGAAUGCGCAGAUAUCAGGAGGAACACCAGUGGCGAAGGCGGUUCUCUGGGCCUUUCCUGACGCUGAGGAGCGAAAGCGUGGGGAGCGAACAGGCUUAGAUACCCUGGUAGUCCACGCUGUAAACGGUGGGUACUAGGUGUGGGGUCCAUUCCACGGGUUCCGUGCCGUAGCUAACGCUUUAAGUACCCCGCCUGGGGAGUACGGCCGCAAGGCUAAAACUCAAAGGAAUUGACGGGGCCCCGCACAAGCGGCGGAGCAUGCGGAUUAAUUCGAUGCAACGCGUAGAACCUUACCUGGGUUUGACAUGGAUCGGGAGUGCUCAGAGAUGGGUGUGCCUCUUUUGGGGUCGGUUCACAGGUGGUGCAUGGCUGUCGUCAGCUCGUGUCGUGAGAUGUUGGGUUAAGUCCCGCAACGAGCGCAACCCUUGUUCACUGUUGCCAGCACGUUAUGGUGGGGACUCAGUGGAGACCGCCGGGGUCAACUCGGAGGAAGGUGGGGAUGACGUCAAGUCAUCAUGCCCCUUAUGUCCAGGGCUUCACGCAUGCUACAAUGGCUGGUACAGAGAGUGGCGAGCCUGUGAGGGUGAGCGGAUCUCGGAAAGCCGGUCUCAGUUCGGAUUGGGGUCUGCAACUCGACCUCAUGAAGUCGGAGUCGCUAGUAAUCGCAGAUCAGCAACGCUGCGGUGAAUACGUUCCCGGG
Molecule: ribosomal RNA, 1343 nt
Filed under: uncultured bacterium
Lineage: Bacteria
Description: 16S ribosomal RNA
Rfam family: Bacterial small subunit ribosomal RNA
Source: RNAcentral